Molecule: ribosomal RNA, 253 nt
Filed under: uncultured prokaryote
Description: partial 16S ribosomal RNA
Rfam family: Bacterial small subunit ribosomal RNA
Source: RNAcentral
UACGAAGGGGGCUAGCGUUGCUCGGAAUGACUGGGCGUAAAGGGCGCGUAGGCGGAUGUUACAGUCGGGUGUGAAAUUCCUGGGCUCAACCUGGGGGCUGCACCCGAGACGUGACGUCUAGAGUGUGAAAGAGGGUCGUGGAAUUCCCAGUGUAGAGGUGAAAUUCGUAGAUAUUGGGAAGAACACCGGUGGCGAAGGCGGCGACCUGGUUCAUGACUGACGCUGAGGCGCGAAAGCGUGGGGAGCAAACAGG